Molecule: long non-coding RNA, 329 nt
Filed under: Helianthus annuus (common sunflower)
Lineage: Eukaryota; Viridiplantae; Streptophyta; Magnoliopsida; Asterales; Asteraceae
Description: hypothetical non coding rna
Source: RNAcentral
GAAUCAGAUCUAAAAAGCUCUAAGUUGAAGUAUUGCUUCAUACCUGAGUUUCUCUGAUCUCGAUUAGCAUUCGGGGACUCUCCCUUAUGGUCGAUGCGAAGUGCCGUUUGAUAUCCCGUGAUCUUUAGCAUUAUCUGGUUAUAUUACAAGGAAGUCAAAGCAAUCUCAGGAGCUAUUCCAUAGGAUGAUGAUCAUGACACUAGGGCGGACCUGUGCCUUAGAGAAUAAAAAUGAAGAUAGAAUUAGUUUAAUUAUGUUCUGAACUCUUUGUUUUCCUGUUUGAAACGAUGUAGCACUCAUGUUUAUAAAUAAAAUACAGCUUUGUAUGC